RNAcentral lists this ribosomal RNA (791 nucleotides) under uncultured archaeon. Its description in RNAcentral is "bacterial SSU rRNA". It matches the Rfam family "Archaeal small subunit ribosomal RNA", at positions 85 to 879 of the family's 1478-position model. The record is from RNAcentral.
ACGGCUCAGUAACACGUGGAUAACAUGCCCUAAGGAGGGGGAUAAUCUCGGGAAACUGAGGGUAAUACCCCAUAGGUCUAUUUUGCUGGAAUGCUAAUAGGCCGAAAACUCCGGUGCCUUAGGAUUGGUCUGCGGUCUAUCAGGCUGUAGUGGGUGUAAUGGACCCACUAGCCCGUGACGGAUAUGGGCCUUGAGAGAGGGAGCCCAGAGAUGGACUCUGAGACAUGAGUCCAGGCCCUACGGGGCGCAGCAGUCGCGAAAACUUCGCAAUGGGGGCAACCCCGACGAGGGAAUUCCAAGUGCUAGCACUUUGUGUUAGCUGUUCUUCUGUCUAAAAAACAGGAGGAGUAAGGGGCGGGUAAGACGGGUGCCAGCCGCCGCGGUAAUACCCGCGCCCCAAGUGGUGGUCGAUAUUAUUGAGCCUAAAACGUCCGUAGCCGGUCUUCUAAAUCCUUGGGUAAAUCGGGCAGCUUAACUGUCCGAAGUCCGGGGAGACUGGGAGACUUGGGACCGGGAGAGGUCAGAGGUACUUCUGGGGUAGGGGUAAAAUCCUGUAAUCCUGGAAGGACCACCGGUGGCGAAGGCGUCUGACUAGAACGGAUCCGACGGUGAGGGACGAAGCCCUGGGGCGCAAACGGGAUUAGAUACCCCGGUAGUCCAGGGUGUAAACGCUGCGGGCUUGGUGUUGGGGGUCCUUAGUGGGCGCCCAGUGCCGGAGAGAAGUUGUUAAGCCUGCUGCUUGGGGAGUAUGUCCGCAAGGAUGAAACUUAAAGGAAUUGGCGGGGGAGCAC